UACGAGUGGCCCAAGCGUUAAUCGGAAUCACUGGGCUUAAAGCGUGCGCAGGCGGACCUUCAGGCGUCCCGUGAAAUGCCCCGGCUCAACCGGGGAAUGGCUGGGCGAACCGUUGGUCUUGAGGCAGGUAGGGGGGUGCAGAACUGUCGGUGGAGCGGUGAAAUGCGUAGAUAUCGACAGGAAUGCCGAAGGCGAAGGCGGCACCCUGGGCCUGUCCUGACGCUCAUGCACGAAAGCGUGGGGAGCAAACAGG
This 253-nucleotide unclassified non-coding RNA is filed under the name uncultured Phycisphaeraceae bacterium. RNAcentral describes it as "contains 16S-23S intergenic spacer region". It matches the Rfam family "Bacterial small subunit ribosomal RNA", at positions 524 to 776 of the family's 1533-position model. The record is from RNAcentral. Lineage: Bacteria; Pseudomonadati; Planctomycetota; Phycisphaerae; Phycisphaerales; Phycisphaeraceae.